AGAACGAACGCUGGCGGCAUGCCUAACACAUGCAAGUCGAACGGGACCUUCGGGUCUAGUGGCGCACGGGUGCGUAACGCGUGGGAAUCUGCCCUUGGGUUCGGGACAACGGCGGGAAACUGCCGCUAACACCGGAUACGGCCUUCAGCGAUGGAGGCGAAAGGUUACGCCCUGUGAUGGGCCCACGUCCGAUUAGCUUGUUGGUGAGGUAACGGCUCACCAAGGCUGCGAUCGGUAGCCGGUCUGAGAGGAUGAUCGGCCACACUGGGACUGAGACACGGCCCAGACUCCUACGGGAGGCAGCAGUGGGGAAUCUUGGACAAUGGGGGCAACCCUGAUCCAGCGACGCCGCGUGGGUGAUGAAGGCCUUCGGGUUGUAAAGCCCUUUUGUCGGGACGAUGAUGACGGUACCGGCGAAUAAGCACCGGCUAACUCCGUGCCAGCAGCCGC
This 450-nucleotide ribosomal RNA is filed under the name uncultured bacterium. RNAcentral describes it as "SSU rRNA". It matches the Rfam family "Bacterial small subunit ribosomal RNA", at positions 26 to 518 of the family's 1533-position model. The record is from RNAcentral.